AGAGAGAGAAAAGGAGAGAGAUACAGAGGGAAAGAGAGAGGGAGAGAGAGAUAGAAAAGGAAAGAGAGAGAGAGAGAUAGUGAGAGAGAGAGAGAGAGAGAGAGAGAGAGAGAGAGAGAGAGAGAGAGAGAGAGAGAGAGGAGUGGGGAGAGAGAGAUAGCUAUAGAGGAGAACUAUCACAGUUACACAUGCCCUGAUCCCCCUUUCUCCCUCCUCCAUAUAUUAUAUCAUAAGUGACGUUGAGCUCCUGGCUGCUGCUGAUGUGUGUUUAACAGCGCCAGGCCUCUGGGAGAACCGCUGACUUCCACUCAUCAUUUAUCAGCCCCUGGAUUCACUCAUUCAAAUAUAUAUAAAAGAUAUAUAAAAAUAAUAUACCUCAAAAAGGUGUCGAUGGGUUCGGUUCUCAGCUGCUGGCUUUAUUCACCGUGUACACUGUAUAAUAAACAGCAUCAGAGCUCUGGGAAAGACAAACGCUUACAACACGGAAGAGUAGCGUACGACCGUAAUACUAGCGCUGCUGAAUUCUCCAUUCUGAUUGGCCGGCAGAGGCUGAUGUUCCUGGGAUAAGGAUCUGGAUCCAGCGAUAUCCUGACCAGGAUGAAGUGCUUGCUGAAAAUGAAUGAAUGAAUAAAUGACUGGCGUCUCAUUUAAGGUAAAUUCCCGCCUCACAUCCAGUGUUCCUGAGAUGUGCAGGUGCACAAACUUUUGCACUCAGCAUGUUUUUUUUUAAACGUGUUUUUUUUUUUUUGACCAAAUCUUUACUGUAUCCUUAACUGAUUUUAUUUAAACAGUUCGUCAUAGCGGACUUUUUUUGGACGACUUUUAGAUGUUAACCUAUUAACCACAAGAUAAACACGUUAAAAAGUCCUGUUUUUAAAAAAAUAAAUAAAGGUCUAAUUUGAAACUAGUUGACUCUGAGCAUUUCUACUCAGAGGGAAACACAGUCAAUGGAUGGACCUGAUCCAAGACCAACACUGGCUUGCCAGGAAAUUGAAUGAUUCACCGUCGUUUACGAACCUGGUCAUUUUCUACUGACCAUAAAUCAGACGUAUCGUUUAAAGACAGGAUUAGACAAUGUGUUGAUUUGUAGGAAACUGAUCCGGGACCUGUGUUUAGAGCACGACAGCCUGACGGACGCUGAUUCAGUAGCUCGGCCAUGUGAGGCAUGUAUGAAAUGAUUGUGGUUAGCCGCCGCGAGGGGAUGUUAACGGUCCGGUGGUUUCUGUUUAUACACAGGAGCGAGACGGCGAGAGAUGACUCCAGACUUAUGAAUGACUCUAUGAAGCCAGAGUUCGGAGUGAGUCAAACUUCCUCAGCUUGUUCGCCAAAAACAAAAAAAAAGACCAUGUACACAAUGAAUUUGGACACUUUUGUAUAAGCAAGCAUGACCUAGAAAAAAAAAAACAGAUAGUACAGUGCGACGAGAAGGAAGAAAGUUUGUGCUGCUCUUGAUGAUCGAAGAGCGACUCCAGGAGACGGGAGAGAUCUUCGAGAAGACUUGGACGGAGAGAAGAAAACUGAGAGGGAGAAAAGGCAAGAAAGAAAUUAGAGAUGAGCUAGAGAUAGAAGGAAAAGAAAAGACAGAGAGAGAGAGAGAGAGAAACGGGCUUGUUUGCUUUUGCACAGGCGCUGAUUGACGUACUUGCUCACAGUGACUCAGUGAGUGGAUGGAGGACCGUGAAAGUUCAUGUUGGGAAUAGUAUGAUGCGAGUGAAGAGGGGGCCGCAGCCGUUCUGUCUCCUACCACACAGCAUACGGACCGGCAUGUGCACUCGCACGUCACUCCGCUGGCCACGGCAACCGCCGUAGAAACGGCCUCCACUCAUCCCUGCCGCGUGUCCUCCUCCUUCUCCUUCGUCCUGCACUUCGCUAAUAGAAACACAUGAAAGACGUGCGUUAAAAAAACAAAACGAAAAAAAAAGCACACAAUUCAGAGAGAAAUCACAGGUACGCAAUUAGUCGAUUAACCAUGCGAGACAUAGUUGACAUAAUUGUAUGAUGCUAAUCGCCGUACAAGGAAGGAACUCUACCUGUUCUGUAAAUAAGUUAACAUAUAUUUGCCUCAAAUGUCAAGAAUGCUACAUAUUUUACACGUAUUUAAAGAGCGGGGGUUGACAAAUCGCUAGCUCGGCUAAUCGGGACAGGUAGAUUAUAUAUUACAUAUCCAAGCUAAUCGACGAAAAUGUUUAUCUGAUGUGUAGAGAAAAAAAAAAUACAGAACCAGAAUGAUUAUAGAACGAUGUUUUUAGCUUUAGCUAUAUAGUUAGAAAGGCUAACUCGGUAUCCGCUAUAAUGUUGUGAUGAACCAAAGAGUUUUGAAUGCUCUGGUAUGUUUGAAAAACGGCUAAGAAGAUGAGAAUGCAAGCUGAGAUUAAGAUACCGAAAUUCCAGGUAGCUAUCGCUAGUAUUUAGCCAGCUAGUUGUGCUUAUGUUUGCUCAUGACAUAGAUUAUAUAGAGCGGAAGAGCAAGAAAUAGCAUAAACGUGAUAAAGCUCUUUGUGCGAAACUAUGCUGCGUUCAACAUCAUUUAUCAACCUCGGUGUGAGGGGAAACAAGCCUGAAUGCGGCAGUGUUUGUGUUAUGUUAGCAACGCGCUAGUCAGCGAGCUAGCUGAUGAGUGAUGUCUGUUUUUUUUCCUCCUCAAAACGGUGAACUGUGUAGUCAGUGUUAUAGAUUUAACAAGCGAAUACGUCUGUAGGUCGAUAGCUCUAAAGCAAGUAUUUGUUUAUACACCCUGAUGAAAAAAACAAUAGAAACCAUUAAUGAAAUCCUAAUGGUUUCCUCUACAAAUACCAUUACAAAAAAUAAGCUAACCAUUUAAAAGCAUUACCCUUACUGUACCAUUAUUUGUCCUUAAUGGUGUCCACUAGACAUGCUAUGCACCACCAAUAAAGCGACAAAUUACCAGUAGAGACCCACAGGGACCAUUACAGUUUCCGUUAAAACCAGUACAAUUCCCAUUAUAACCAUUAAAUCCAUUAUAAAUUCUAUGAGGGUAUUUAUUGGGGUUUGUUUUUUUCUUUCUUUUCUUUAGUAUAACUCCUUGAAUGGAAGAAGUGCUAUUUUGUUUGCUGUUGAUGCUGUGGGCGGCCAUUUUGAUUUGACAUCACUUGCUGAACUUGGAGUCCAAGUUGAGGGGAUGUUUUGCUGUUGUUGUUGUUUAUUGUUGUUGUUGUUUUUCCAAGUCUGAGUUUGGGAAUUUGGGAAAGAAAAACCCCUUUAGUUGAAUGCAGCAGUAAGGCUGUUAACCUGUAGCUUGCAGAAAGUUACACAAGAUCAGAUAUUUGCUGGCAUAUUUAAAUAUUCAUGCUGUGAAAAAAAAUUUUUUUUAAUGAAUGAGAGAAGUCAUGGAAUGUUUAAAUAAUCUUACAUUUUGGAGAUCAGUGCCCUAAAAUAUAUCAAACGCAUGCAGUUCCUACCCAAUCCUAACCUGAAUGCCUGUUAAAAAGCUUCAUGUGUCCUUCUGGGACUGUGUUGUUAAGUCAGUGAGUCCUGUUCAGCCCCCUGGCUGGUGGUGACAUUUAAACCAAGGUAGCGCUGCAUCUAUUUGUGAGUGCUGGACCCACGCGUUACGCUCGGAGAAUGUCAAAACUCUGAGCUGCCUGCCUCGAUGAUCAUUUCCUUUGACAUUUCUCCAGCACUGUCAAAUAGGUUAGCACCGUAAUUGCCCUCCGUGUGAAGCGAGAGGGAAUAGUGGGAAUGAAUUCGGACAAGAUUCUGCAUCAACACGCCACUCUCACCUCCCCCAUUAUGGAUCAAGGUCACCUUACACCAGCUGCACCUUGCUAAGUCCACAUUAGCAUGAGGUCUAAUGAGGCUUGGGGGGGGACAGUGCUAGCUCCGCAGCCACCGUCUCGUAAUGCAACCUGCUAGCGCACUGCAUUAUUAGCCCUAAAGGCUUCAUUAUUUGCAUUAGCCAUUUGUUUUCAAUUUGAAGCCAUGCUACUGUUUGGGUUAUUUCCCCUAAAGGGUUGGGGUUUCACAAAAAAUUACAAUGAUUCCAUUAAAAAAAUUACAAUAAUUGCAUUUUGAAGCCAAGGGGUGAUUUUUGUGUUGGUUAAUCUAAACAGCCAGGGCUUGAAGUUAGUACACAAAAACCCAGCUUUCUCCACAAUUGAGUUGGAGACAAUUCCCAUACGUAAAUAUUCAUACUCUUUAAUAUUGAGAUGAAGCAUGGUGGUGGAAGUAUCAUGAAAGGGUUGCUUCUCUGAGUAAUACCAGGUAUCACUGACUGAUACUCAUUAAUCUUCUGUUUUGACUAAUACUUCUACCCGGUCUCUAAGCUUUGGUGGCCAUAAUAUUUUAAACUAUAUUCAAUUUUUCCCCUGCCAAUUCAAUAUUAUGGGUUAUUUUGUGUUGAUUCAUGACAUGAGAUGUUAAAAAUCAUUUUAAGCAGGGGGGUGAAUAUUUAUGCAAGCUACUGAUAAACAACAGCAAAUUGAGGAACCUUUGAGAGCACCAUUGAGAGCAUCCUGAGCAGCUGCAUCACUGCCGGGUUUGGAAAUUACACCGUAUUGGACCGCAAGACCCUGCAGUGGAAAGUGAGGACAGCGGAGAUCACUUGGGUCUGUCUUCCCUCCAUCAUAGCCAUUUACACCACACGGUGCACCGGCAAAGCCACCAGCAUUGUGGAUGACCCCACACACCCGCCUCACACAAACUCUUCACCCUCCUGCCGUCUGGAAAAAGGUACCGAAGCAUUCGGGCCCUCACGGCCAGACCGUGUAAGAGCUUCUUCCCCCAAGCCAUCGGACUCCUCGAUGCUCAAAGACUGGACUGACACCCACACACACACGCACACACACGCACACACAAACACACAAAACAGAAAGCUGCGUUGUGUUUGCAAUUGUUUGAUAUCCAUGAGAGCAGAGUAUUCGUUAAAGGUUAAACAAUAAAGACAAAUUUUCACAGUUU
Molecule: long non-coding RNA, 4917 nt
Organism: Ictalurus punctatus (channel catfish)
Lineage: Eukaryota; Metazoa; Chordata; Actinopteri; Siluriformes; Ictaluridae
Exons: 2
Source: RefSeq, a predicted model, not a curated record